UUGGACUCUAUCCGCGUGUUCGUUGAGCUGUAAAUGCCUUAACAUCAUGAUAGCGGAGAGGAGUAAAGCUGUAGGAUUGGCCAAAUCCUUCCCAGCGAUGUCCGGGGCCGUGCCGUGGACCUAUAAUUAAAUAGACUAACAUUAUUAGUUUCCUCGUCACCGUACGCCACACACCCCAAGCCAACUUGUCAUCUAGUACAGAUGUUUGAUGAUCUCGUUGGUGUACUCCGUGCAUGAGCUCUUUCCCCCGAGGUCCUCGGUGAGGACUCUCCCUUCCUUGAGGACGGUGAAGCAGGCUGUUUCUAUUCUGUCGGCGAUGUCUUCCAGCUUCAUGUAUCUCAGCAUCAUGACUCCGGACAGGAGGAGUGCUGUGGGAUUGGCCUUAUCCUGGCCGGCUAUGGCCGGGGCUGUGCCAUGAACCUGGAAUUGUUAGUACUAUUCAGAAGUUCCAUGUUCAAACCACAUGUGACGGAUCAGUAACGUGGACCAGGGAAGUGGAGAUGAACACAACACAGUACAUGCUACUAUAUAUACAUAUAUAUAUUGUGAAGCUAAAACACAUGAAUACAUAAUCAGGAAGCUCACACCUCUAGAUGAACUAUGAAUAGCAAAAUAAUAGUCAAUGAGAUGCUCUACCGUGGAGAUAUAUUGUUACUUUAGUUAUACGACAAACGAAAGUUAGAAAUUACAGUCAAUGGGCAGUGAUUAGAAACCGCUCCAGGUUACAGAUAGUUCAGAGAACAGAAGGAAGGAACCGAGCACGAACAGCAUCAGGGAGUACGCAUUGACCGACUUCAGAGAAGUAAUAUAAUGUGUCAUCACUGUGCGUGUAUGUCUUUAUGUGCCAGGCGUUCUCACAAACCGAUUGCCGAUUUUUAAGUAAUUUAUACUGUCAUUGAAGUCGGUCAAGGAGUACCUGUGUGUUAGCGCGGGGGCGUCAGGUUAGUUCACGAUCUGUAGUAGCGUAUACACAACUUACGUUUCUUCUCCAUAUCACAUAAUAAUCAUUUCGGUCACUGGCCUUUACAUUUUUUUUGUCUCAUUUCAACAAUAGAACAUUGUUCACGGAUAUAAUUCACUUUUGUAUGAAGUUUCUUUUUUUUUAUAGUGUAUUAGUUAACAUACAAAUUUAAAUAAUUAAGACUCUUGAAGCCACACGUAUGUCUAUUUUUAAAAACAUUACAAGUUCGUUUCUUUAUAAAUUCCUUUAAUAACGUUAAAAAUGUAUAUAUUCUGUGUGUACCCUACCAUUCAGAUGUAAUUGGAUCAAUUACUGAGCAUAAAAAAAAAUCAAAAUAAAUAUUUUUAAUCUACGCUAAAUGAAAAAGCAAUGGACUUAAAAAAAAUAUAUAAAAUAAUAGUCUAAUAGUUUGGAGCUCUAAUACACUACGGAAAUAAUUAGUUGCUUAUUAUAACGGUGUGUGUUGUGUGCCGCUCACCG
Molecule: long non-coding RNA, 1441 nt
Organism: Danaus plexippus (monarch butterfly)
Lineage: Eukaryota; Metazoa; Arthropoda; Insecta; Lepidoptera; Nymphalidae
Exons: 3
Source: RefSeq, a predicted model, not a curated record